This 520-nucleotide ribosomal RNA is filed under the name uncultured bacterium. RNAcentral describes it as "bacterial SSU rRNA". It matches the Rfam family "Bacterial small subunit ribosomal RNA", at positions 9 to 518 of the family's 1533-position model. The record is from RNAcentral.
GAGUUUGAUCCUGGCUCAGAUUGAACGCUGGCGGCAGGCCUAACACAUGCAAGUCGAACGGUAACAGGAAGAAGCUUGCUUCUUUGCUGACGAGUGGCGGACGGGUGAGUAAUGCCUGGGAAACUGCCUGAUGGAGGGGGAUAACUACUGGAAACGGUAGCUAAUACCGCAUAACGUCGCAAGACCAAAGAGGGGGACCUUCGGGCCUCUUGCCAUCGGAUGUGCCCAGAUGGGAUUAGCUAGUAGGUGGGGUAACGGCUCACCUAGGCGACGAUCCCUAGCUGGUCUGAGAGGAUGACCAGCCACACUGGAACUGAGACACGGUCCAGACUCCUACGGGAGGCAGCAGUGGGGAAUAUUGCACAAUGGGCGCAAGCCUGAUGCAGCCAUGCCGCGUGUAUGAAGAAGGCCUUCGGGUUGUAAAGUACUUUCAGCGGGGAGGAAGGGAGUAAAGUUAAUACCUUUGCUCAUUGACGUUACCCGCAGAAGAAGCACCGGCUAACUCCGUGCCAGCAGCCGC